Nomascus leucogenys (northern white-cheeked gibbon) is the source of this 316-nucleotide long non-coding RNA. RefSeq lists it as uncharacterized. NCBI's taxonomy places the organism in Eukaryota, Metazoa, Chordata, Mammalia, Primates, Hylobatidae. The transcript has 3 exons. The record is from RefSeq and is a predicted model, not a curated record.
UGACAGAAUGAAGUGGAAGACAGGCUCACGAGCUUCAUCACGGUGUUCAAAUACACUGAUGACAAGGUCGUCUUUCAAAAGUUCUAUGCAAGAAUGCUGGCAAAACGUUUAAUUCAUGGGUUAUCCAUGUCUAUGGAUUCUGAAGAAGCCAUGAUCAACAAAUUAAAGCAAGCCUGUGGUUAUGAGUUUACCAGCAAGCUACAUCGGAUGUAUACAGAUAUGAGUGUCAGCGCUGAUCUCAACAAUAAGUUCAACAAUUUUAUCAAAAACCAAGACACAGUAAUAGAUUUGGGAAUUAGUUUUCAAAUAUAUGUUC